CGCUGGCGGCAGGCCUAAUACAUGCAAGUCGAGCGCUCUAGCAAUAGGGAGCGGCGCACGGGUGCGUAACGCGUGGGAAUAUGCCUCUAGGGUGCGGAAACAAACCAAGGGAAACUUUGGCUAAUACCGUAUAAUAUCUUCGGAUCAAAGAUUUAUCGCCUAGAGAUUAGCCCGCGUCUGAUUAGCUAGUUGGUGAGGUAAAGGCUCACCAAGGCGACGAUCAGUAGCUGGUCUGAGAGGAUGAUCAGCCACACUGGAACUGAGACACGGUCCAGACUCCUACGGGAGGCAGCAGUAAGGAAUAUUGGACAAUGGGGGAAACCCUGAUCCAGCCAUGCCGCGUGAGUGACGAAGGCCUUAGGGUUGUAAAGCUCUUUUGGCGGGAAGAUAAUGACUGUACCCGCAGAAUAAGCCCCGGCUAAAUUCGUG
Molecule: ribosomal RNA, 429 nt
Filed under: uncultured bacterium
Lineage: Bacteria
Description: bacterial SSU rRNA
Rfam family: Bacterial small subunit ribosomal RNA
Source: RNAcentral